This 416-nucleotide ribosomal RNA is filed under the name uncultured bacterium. RNAcentral's name for it is "bacterial SSU rRNA". It matches the Rfam family "Bacterial small subunit ribosomal RNA", at positions 355 to 787 of the family's 1533-position model. The record is from RNAcentral.
UCGGGAAUAUUGCGCAAUGGAGGAAACUCUGACGCAGUGACGCCGCGUAUAGGAAGAAGGUUUUCGGAUUGUAAACUAUUGCCGUUAGGGAAGAAAAAAGACAGUACCUAAGGAGGAAGCUCCGGCUAACUACGUGCCAGCAGCCGCGGUAAUACGUAGGGAGCAAGCGUUAUCCGGAUUUAUUGGGUGUAAAGGGUGCGUAGACGUGCGAUCAAGUUAGUUGUGAAAUCCCUCGGCUCAACUGAGGAACUGCAACUAAAACUGGUUGUCUUGAGUGCAGGAGAGGUAAGUGGAAUUCCUAGUGUAGCGGUGAAAUGCGUAGAUAUUAGGAGGAACACCAGUGGCGAAGGCGACUUACUGGACUGUAACUGACGUUGAGGCACGAAAGUGUGGGGAGCAAACAGGAUUAGAUACCC